ACCUGGCUGGCUCAGCUGAUAGAGCAUGAGACUCUUGAUCUUGAGGUUGUGAGUUCAAGCCCCACACUGGGCA
RNAcentral lists this transfer RNA (73 nucleotides) under Ailuropoda melanoleuca (giant panda). It matches the Rfam family "tRNA". Rfam says of the family: Transfer RNA (tRNA) molecules are approximately 80 nucleotides in length. Their secondary structure includes four short double-helical elements and three loops (D, anti-codon, and T loops). Lineage: Eukaryota; Metazoa; Chordata; Mammalia; Carnivora; Ursidae. The record is from Rfam by way of RNAcentral.